Molecule: ribosomal RNA, 462 nt
Filed under: uncultured bacterium
Lineage: Bacteria
Description: partial 16S ribosomal RNA
Rfam family: Bacterial small subunit ribosomal RNA
Source: RNAcentral
GACGAACGCUGGCGGCGUGCUUAACACAUGCAAGUCGAACGGAAAGGCCCUUCGGGGUACUCGAGUGGCGAACGGGUGAGUAACACGUGGGUGAUCUGCCCUGCACUUUGGGAUAAGCCUGGGAAACUGGGUCUAAUACCGAAUAGGACCACGCGCUUCAUGGUGUGUGGUGGAAAGCUUUUGCGGUGUGGGAUGGGCCCGCGGCCUAUCAGCUUGUUGGUGGGGUAAUGGCCUACCAAGGCGACGACGGGUAGCCGGCCUGCGAGGGUGACCGGCCACACUGGGACUGAGAUACGGCCCAGACUCCUACGGGAGGCAGCAGUGGGGAAUAUUGCACAAUGGGCGCAAGCCUGAUGCAGCGACGCCGCGUGAGGGAUGACGGCCUUCGGGUUGUAAACCUCUUUCAAUAGGGACGAAGCGCAAGUGACGGUACCUAUAGAAGAAGCACCGGCCAACUACGUG